RNAcentral lists this ribosomal RNA (470 nucleotides) under uncultured organism. RNAcentral describes it as "partial 16S ribosomal RNA". It matches the Rfam family "Bacterial small subunit ribosomal RNA", at positions 335 to 797 of the family's 1533-position model. The record is from RNAcentral.
ACUCCUGCGGGAGGCAGCAGUGGGGAAUUUUGGACAAUGGGCGAAAGCCUGAUCCAGCAAUGCCGCGUGAGUGAAGAAGGCCUUCGGGUUGUAAAGCUCUUUUGUCAGGGAAGAAACGGUGAGAGCUAAUAUCUCUUGCUAAUGACGGUACCUGAAGAAUAAGCACCGGCUAACUACGUGCCAGCAGCCGCGGUAAUACGUAGGGUGCAAGCGUUAAUCGGAAUUACUGGGCGUAAAGCGUGCGCAGGCGGUUUUGUAAGUCUGAUGUGAAAUCCCCGGGCUCAACCUGGGAAUUGCAUUGGAGACUGCAAGGCUAGAAUCUGGCAGAGGGGGGUAGAAUUCCACGUGUAGCAGUGAAAUGCGUAGAUAUGUGGAGGAACACCGAUGGCGAAGGCAGCCCCCUGGGUCAAGAUUGACGCUCAUGCACGAAAGCGUGGGGAGCAAACAGGAUUAGAAACCCAGUAGUCCCA